This 300-nucleotide long non-coding RNA is filed under the name Coturnix japonica (Japanese quail). RNAcentral's name for it is "lncRNA (ENSCJPG00005009652.1)". Lineage: Eukaryota; Metazoa; Chordata; Aves; Galliformes; Phasianidae. The record is from RNAcentral.
GGAAAUUAGUCUCAGAUUUUGUUCCAUAUAACUUUUUGACAACUCACAGUAUCAGGAAUUGUUGUAAAAGAUGAGAGAAUUCAUAAGGGCUAACUCUUCAGUUACUAAUUUGCAGAACUUGAAGCUGAGAUUGUUUCUUUGCUAAGGCUGCUUGAGGAACAGACUUAUGGGAUCAGAAAGCAAUUAAAAAAGGUGCUGAAUGGAGCUUGUGAAAUCAGCAAAACAAAUUACUUUAACAAUACUACUUACAUGAGUAAUGAAGAUGAGCUCCUUCCCCGGAGUCAUUUGUAUCUAUUUAAG